UUUUUUUUUUUUUUUUUAAGAUCAAGGAAUGACAGUAAUUAAAAGUAACUGCUCUUUAGAAAACCUUUAUUGGAAUUUAACAGAAAAUAAAGUUUAAAGGGUUCACAUUUUCCCUUAAUGCCAUUCUUUCCAUCUUGAAUAUAAUAUAAUCUAGUAAGAAGGGCCUGGUUUCCAUCCCAUAUUCUUCAUUAUUGAUUUUCGGGGAGAUAACUUGCAGCUAGGCUGGAAGGCCAUAAAAUAGCAGUUGAUAAUACUAGGCUGAAAUUUUGGAGAGGAGGGAGCGGUUUGCUCAUUAGCCCAAUCCAUUUUAUCCCUAAGCCAUCAGAAAGGUCUUCAGCAUUGAUUGUAUCCAAGCAUUAGAGUGAAGUUUUGACUCUUAACACGGUGCUUCUCAAACUAUGUAUGUAUGAAAAUGCAGAUUCUGAUUUCAGCAGGUCUGGGAUGCGUCCUGAUGGUUCAUCUCUAAAAGCUCCCGCAUGAUCGCGCAAAUGCUGAUGUCUGUGGCCUGCAUUUGUGGUAGUUAGGCCUGUGGGGCUUCGGGCUGCGGAUGAGGUGAUAACACAAGCAGGUGUAAGCCCCAGAAAUUGUUGCCACAAAAGAUAGAAUUUAGUAUUUUUUUAGAUAGCUUUUUCAAGGUUAUGAUCGGGGAUGCAGACUGGUCUUGAAGGCUUCAAAGUAAAGGUCAAAGGUUUUUCAGGAGUCAAGUGUAGAAUUUUGCUUCAUUUGGAGCUUUUUUUAGAUACAGGAAAUUUGUGCUUUGGGGAGGAAGAUUUAUAUUUUUAAAUAGGCAGACAGUUAUGUAUUUCAUGUUGUAAAGAAACUUACUAAAUAAGAGGCCAUGUGAACCUUUUCCCAACAGUAGUGUGUGUGGAUUAUGUUCUCUUUUUUAGCAUAAAACUAAAUUUUCAGGUAUUAGAAAUAUAUCUAGUCUGUAAAUAAAUCUUGCCUUCUAAGUUAAGGAGCUUCACUAUUUUACUAAUAACCAUUGUAGACAGACUACUCCUGGCAGUGAAGUUAGCAAUACCAAACAAACAAAGUCGUAGCUGACAGAUGUGACUUGUCAUUGUAGUAAAGAUCUCUGGUUACUUUGCUGUUAAUUGUUGAGAAUUUCUGUUUUAUCUUAAAAUGGGGUCUGAAAGAUGUUGAAUAAUUUGGUUCUCUAAAAAUGAGUUUUUCUUAGCCUUCCGUUUCCUUUAUGUCUUAAAUACUCUUCAUAUGAAUUGGACUCAUCCAGAGCACUUAAUACAGCCCGGAGUUAAGUAACGGGUGUUUUGAAUUGAUAUAUGAAAAUGUGUCGAUGGCUUGAUCUGUAAAACAAAUCUGGGCCUUAGUUUGUGAUGGUCUGAUGAAUGAUACGUUUAUUA
This 1364-nucleotide long non-coding RNA is filed under the name Canis lupus familiaris (dog). RNAcentral's name for it is "lncRNA (ENSCAFG00000050169.1)". Lineage: Eukaryota; Metazoa; Chordata; Mammalia; Carnivora; Canidae. The record is from RNAcentral.